RNAcentral lists this transfer RNA (74 nucleotides) under Solirubrobacterales bacterium. RNAcentral's name for it is "tRNA-Ile". It matches the Rfam family "tRNA". Rfam says of the family: Transfer RNA (tRNA) molecules are approximately 80 nucleotides in length. Their secondary structure includes four short double-helical elements and three loops (D, anti-codon, and T loops). Further hydrogen bonds mediate the characteristic L-shaped molecular structure. tRNAs have two regions of fundamental functional importance: the anti-codon, which is responsible for specific mRNA codon recognition, and the 3' end, to which the tRNAs corresponding amino acid is attached (by aminoacyl-tRNA synthetases). tRNAs cope with the degeneracy of the genetic code in two manners: having more than one tRNA (with a specific anti-codon) for a particular amino acid; and 'wobble' base-pairing, i.e. permitting non-standard base-pairing at the 3rd anti-codon position. The record is from RNAcentral. Lineage: Bacteria; Bacillati; Actinomycetota; Thermoleophilia; Solirubrobacterales. RNAcentral also lists the same sequence under 2 other names.
GGGGCGGUAGCUCAGUUGGUUAGAGCAGCGGACUCAUAAUCCGUCGGUCGCUGGUUCGAGUCCAGCCCGCCCCA